Molecule: non-coding RNA, 174 nt
Filed under: bovine gut metagenome
Description: Lysine riboswitch
Rfam family: Lysine riboswitch aptamer
About the family: Riboswitches are metabolite binding domains within certain messenger RNAs that serve as precision sensors for their corresponding targets. Allosteric rearrangement of mRNA structure is mediated by ligand binding, and this results in modulation of gene expression.
Source: RNAcentral
AGAUAGAGGCGCGCCGCGCCAAAAGUACCGCGAAUCCGGGCUGACCGAGCCCCGCGGGAAAGGGACCGGCGCCGAAGCGGACGCAUCCACGGUCGGGGCGUUUCGCUGGCACGGCGGAGAACAUCCGUCCUGCUGUCGCACGGAUCCGCACCGGGAUCCUGCGGAGGGCUAUCG